UCGAGAAUCUUCCGCAAUGGACGCAAGUCUGACGGAGCGACACCGCGUGAUCGAUGAAGUGCUUCGGUAUGUAAAGAUCUUUUAUGAGGGAAGAAGUUUAUUGACGGUACCUCAUGAAUAAGGGCCUGCAAAACUCGUGCCAGCAGCAGCGGUAAUACGAGUGGCCCAAGCGUUAUCCGGAAUUAUUGGGCGUAAAGGAUGUGUAGGUGGUUAUGUUAGUCGGGUGUCUAACCUCUGAGCUUAACUUGGAGACAGCAUUCGAAACGGCAUGACUAGAGUAUAGUAGGGGUAAGCGGAACUCAUAGUGUAGGGGUGAAAUCCGUUGAUAUUAUGGGGAACACCAAAAGCGAAGGCAGCUUACUGGACUAUUACUGACACUGAAACAUGAAAGCGUGGGUAGCGAAUGGGAUUAGAUACCCGUGUAGUCC
This 428-nucleotide ribosomal RNA is filed under the name uncultured bacterium. RNAcentral's name for it is "bacterial SSU rRNA". It matches the Rfam family "Bacterial small subunit ribosomal RNA", at positions 355 to 796 of the family's 1533-position model. The record is from RNAcentral.